Molecule: ribosomal RNA, 365 nt
Filed under: Priestia aryabhattai
Lineage: Bacteria; Bacillati; Bacillota; Bacilli; Caryophanales; Bacillaceae
Description: Bacillus aryabhattai partial 16S ribosomal RNA
Rfam family: Bacterial small subunit ribosomal RNA
Source: RNAcentral
GGGCGCCUUUUUAAAAAAAAAAAGGACGUGGGCAACCUGCCUGUAAGACUGGGAUCCACUUUUAAAAAAAACCGAAGCUAAUACCGGAUAGGAUCUUCUCCUUCAUGGGAGAUGAUUGAAAGAUGGUUUCGGCUAUCACUUACAAAUGGGCCCGCGGUGCAUUAGCUAGUUGGUGAGGUAACGGCUCACCAAGGUAACGAUGCAUAGCCGACCUGAGAGGGUGAUCGGCCACACUGGGACUGAGACACGGCCCAGACUCCUACGGGAGGCAGCAGUAGGGAAUCUUCCGCAAUGGACGAAAGUCUGACGGAGCUACGCCGCGUGAGUGAUGAUGCUCUCGGUUCGUAAAACUCUGUUGUAGGGAA